GCGCCGCUGGCUCAACGGAUAGAGCAUCGGACUUCGGAUCCGAGGGUUGGGGGUUCGAAUCCCUCGCGGCGCGCCA
This 76-nucleotide transfer RNA is filed under the name Deltaproteobacteria bacterium. RNAcentral's name for it is "tRNA-Arg". It matches the Rfam family "tRNA". Rfam says of the family: Transfer RNA (tRNA) molecules are approximately 80 nucleotides in length. Their secondary structure includes four short double-helical elements and three loops (D, anti-codon, and T loops). Lineage: Bacteria; Pseudomonadati; Myxococcota; Myxococcia. The record is from RNAcentral. RNAcentral also lists the same sequence under 1 other name.